This 648-nucleotide ribosomal RNA is filed under the name bacterium 19-L049642-122-014-C03. RNAcentral describes it as "bacterial SSU rRNA". It matches the Rfam family "Bacterial small subunit ribosomal RNA", at positions 60 to 708 of the family's 1533-position model. The record is from RNAcentral.
AGCCGAGCGGUAUUUGUUCUUCGGAACAGAGAGAGCGGCGUACGGGUGCGGAACACGUGUGCAACCUACCUUUAUCAGGGGGAUAGCCUUUCGAAAGGAAGAUUAAUACCCCAUAAUAUAUUGACUGGCAUCAGUUGGUAUUGAAAACUCCGGUGGAUAGAGAUGGGCACGCGCAAGAUUAGAUAGUUGGUAGGGUAACGGCCUACCAAGUCAGUGAUCUUUAGGGGGCCUGAGAGGGUGAUCCCCCACACUGGUACUGAGACACGGACCAGACUCCUACGGGAGGCAGCAGUGAGGAAUAUUGGACAAUGGGUGAGAGCCUGAUCCAGCCAUCCCGCGUGAAGGACGACGGUUCUAUGGAUUGUAAACUUCUUUUAUACUGGGAUAAACCUACCCUCGUGAGGGUAGCUGAAGGUACAGUAUGAAUAAGCACCGGCUAACUCCGUGCCAGCAGCCGCGGUAAUACGGAGGGUGCAAGCGUUAUCCGGAUUUAUUGGGUUUAAAGGGUCCGUAGGCGGAUCUGUAAGUCAGUGGUGAAAUCUCAUAGCUUAACUAUGAAACUGCCAUUGAUACUGCAGGUCUUGAGUAAAGUAGAAGUGGCUGGAAUAAGUAGUGUAGCGGUGAAAUGCAUAGAUAUUACUUAGAACA